GUGAAUUAGCGGCGAACGGGUGAGGAACACGUGAGGAAUCUGCCUUCAACACUGGGAUAACUCCGGGAAACCGGGGCUAAUACCGGAUAUGAGACCUGCUGGCAUGAGCGGGGCUGGAAAGUUUUUCGGUUGAAGAUGACCUCGCGGCCUAUCAGCUUGUUGGUGAGGUAAUGGCUCACCAAGGCGACGACGGGUAGCCGGCCUGAGAGGGCGACCGGCCACACUGGGACUGAGACACGGCCCAGACUCCUACGGGAGGCAGCAGUGGGGAAUAUUGGGCAAUGGAGGAAACUCUGACCCAGCGACGCCGCGUGCGGGAUGAAGGCCUUCGGGUUGUAAACCGCUUUCAGUAGGGAAGAAGCGAAAGUGACGGUACCUACAGAAGAAGCACCGGCUAACUAUGUGCCAGC
RNAcentral lists this ribosomal RNA (410 nucleotides) under uncultured bacterium. RNAcentral describes it as "bacterial SSU rRNA". It matches the Rfam family "Bacterial small subunit ribosomal RNA", at positions 87 to 512 of the family's 1533-position model. The record is from RNAcentral.